This is a long non-coding RNA of Ochotona curzoniae (black-lipped pika), 1001 nucleotides long. RefSeq lists it as uncharacterized. Lineage: Eukaryota; Metazoa; Chordata; Mammalia; Lagomorpha; Ochotonidae. The transcript has 3 exons. The record is from RefSeq and is a predicted model, not a curated record.
AGAUGUGGAAGGACAAACAUUGGAUUGUUUCAUGUACAUGAGCUACACGGGGUCAUUAACCUCAUACAACAAAGUGAUGGUUCCAGGGGCUGAGGACAAGGAAUGUAAAUGUUUGAGAUUCAGAGUUUCAGAUUGGGAAAAAGGAAGAAGUUCCAGACACCGAUGGUGCUCCCAGGCCGACCAUAAAAGGAUAAGCACUCCUUUGUCACUCACGACCUUGACAGUGGAGCAGUUCUUUCUCUGGUCUCACCUUCAGGGGAAUUCUGAAACAGGCAAUCCAGGAAAAGGCCAGUGGCCAGAGGCAAUCUGAUAAUUCCUGCAAGAGGGACUGUGGGUGGAGGAGGCAACAGUGUGAGCAGGAUACACAGUCUUUCUUCCUUUAUUUUAUUGUAUUUGUAAAAACUGCUUUUCUCCAUCUCCAUUGGAAAAGAAUGGUUGGAACAUCACAGUGAAGUGUGGCUCUAAGCCACAGAUUUACCAGCUUAGGCACAGAUGCCUGCCAUGAACCUUCCCCAGAUCCCACCAACCCUUCCAAAAUGGUGCUGUGUCCAAAUCCCUCACUUGGCAAUUCAUGGAUAGCCUUACUACGAUUAGUUGCACUACUUACUUCUGCCUUUGAACUUGUCUAUUGGUGAUUCAUGCCUCUGGCCUCCUUCAAAAGAUCUAGGAUGAUUUGAAGGCAGAGACCUGGGAUCCAUCUCUUGAAAGCAUGAACCCAAACCAACUCUCUGAACUCUCACUUUCAUCUUCAUGGACUACUCAGUUUGUUGUGUAACUCUGUCUCCUUUCCCCAACCUUUUUGCAAACUUUUUGGUAGGAUGUGGCUUAUGUCUCUGGAGUGUCUGCAAUGAUCCUUGGCACACACCAGGUGCUCAACACAUGUGGGCGGAAUCUAUGCAUGUAUUAAUAAAAGCAAUGGAUCCAUCUGUGGUUCCCCUGUAGCCUACUUCAGUGUUUUUGCUUCAGUAUUUUAAUAUUAGAAUAACAAUAUUUGAUAUGCG